This 468-nucleotide ribosomal RNA is filed under the name uncultured bacterium. RNAcentral describes it as "partial 16S ribosomal RNA". It matches the Rfam family "Bacterial small subunit ribosomal RNA", at positions 28 to 507 of the family's 1533-position model. The record is from RNAcentral.
GACGAACGCUGGCGGCGUGCUUAACACAUGCAAGUCGAACGGAAAGGUCCUGCUUUUGUGGGGUGGUCGAGUGGCGAACGGGUGAGUAACACGUGAGUAACCUGUCCUUGACUGUGGGAUAACUUCAGGAAACUGGGGCUAAUACCGGAUAGGAGCUCCUGCUGCUUGGUGGGGGUUGGAAAGUUUCGGCGGUUGGGGAUGGACUCGCGGCUUAUCAGCUUGUUGGUGGGGUAGUGGCUUACCAAGGCUUUGACGGGUAGCCGGGCUGAGAGGGUGACCGGCCCCGCUACGACUGGAAUGAGGCACGGACCCCUACGGGACGCAGCAGUGCAGAAUAGUACACUGUGCGAGGAGGCAUGAUGCGGCACAGCAGCGUGGGGGGAGUGAGCAUUCCGGUUGGGAACUGAUUUUCUUUUUGCCGAGGCGAGAGUGACGGUAAUGGGUGAAGAAGCACCGGCUAACUCCGUG